GGGGAGAUGCCGGAGUGGUCAAACGGGCUUGGCUUAGGACCAAGUGGCUUUUUGCCUACGGGGGUUCGAAUCCUCCUCUCCCCA
Molecule: transfer RNA, 84 nt
Filed under: archaeon
Lineage: Archaea
Description: tRNA-Leu
Rfam family: tRNA
About the family: Transfer RNA (tRNA) molecules are approximately 80 nucleotides in length. Their secondary structure includes four short double-helical elements and three loops (D, anti-codon, and T loops).
Source: RNAcentral